Molecule: transfer RNA, 73 nt
Filed under: Camelus bactrianus (Bactrian camel)
Lineage: Eukaryota; Metazoa; Chordata; Mammalia; Artiodactyla; Camelidae
Also listed under: 1 other name
Rfam family: tRNA
About the family: Transfer RNA (tRNA) molecules are approximately 80 nucleotides in length. Their secondary structure includes four short double-helical elements and three loops (D, anti-codon, and T loops).
Source: Rfam by way of RNAcentral
AGGGGGAUAGCUUAAAUAGCAGAGCACGUGCUCAGCAUGCGUGAGGUCCUGGGUUCAAUCCCCAGUACCUCCU